CCUACGGGUGGCAGCAGUGAGGAAUAUUGGUCAAUGGACGAGAGUCUGAACCAGCCAAGUAGCGUGAAGGAUGACUGCCCUAUGGAUUGUAAACUUCUUUUAUAUGGGAAUAAAAUGUUCCACGUGUGGGCUUUUGUAUGUAUCCUAUGAAUAAGGCUUGGCUAACUCUGUGCCAGCAGCCGCGGUAAUACGGCGGAUCCGAGCGUUAUCCGGGUUUAUUGGGUUUAAAGGGCGCGUAGGUGGAUUGUUAAGUCAGUUGUGAAAGUUUGCGGCUCAACCGUAAAAUUGCAGUUGAUACUGGCAGACUUGAGUGCAGGAGAGGUAGGCGGAAUUCGUGGUGUAGCGGUGAAAUGCUUAGAUAUCACGAAGAACCCCGAUUGCGAAGGCAGCUUACUAAACUGUGACUGACAUUGAUGCUCGAAAGUGUGGGGAUCAAACAGGAUUAGAUACCCGAGUAGUC
Molecule: ribosomal RNA, 460 nt
Filed under: uncultured bacterium
Lineage: Bacteria
Description: partial 16S ribosomal RNA
Rfam family: Bacterial small subunit ribosomal RNA
Source: RNAcentral